UAAAUAUUCACUCCGUCCCAAAAUUCUUGUCUUAAAUUUUUCUAGAUACGAAUGUAUCUAAUCACGUUUUAAUGUUAGAUACCUCCGUAUCUAGACAAAACUAAAAUAAGAAUCUUCGGACGAGGUAAUACUUC
Triticum aestivum (bread wheat) is the source of this 134-nucleotide non-coding RNA. Lineage: Eukaryota; Viridiplantae; Streptophyta; Magnoliopsida; Poales; Poaceae. The record is from Rfam.